CUGGAGUGGAAAAAGAGGAGGAGAUGAUCAAAGAGAAAGCCCAAUCAGACAGGAAAGGAACGGAUGAGAUAAGAUCAGGGUGCUGCCUUAGCCCAGGGAUACAGGGGCCAGGAAGAAGAUUAAGCCCAGAAAAUCGGGGCGGGAACUUGAGCCCAAGCACGGCAAAUGGGAUGGUUCUGGAGCUCAAAACCCCUCGUGUUUGCAAAGACGUCACAGGGGGCCGCAGGCUGGGCAGCCGCCCAGUGCAGCUACCAGCAAUCUGAGGCCUCCAUCCUGGGUUUCUGUUUCCUCACCUGUCUGGUGUGUGGCCUCGGGGGUUCCUUCAAGCUUUAAGUGAUACAAAGAGAGUGGCGAUGAGGAGAUGCCAAGACCCUUGAGCCUUGAGUCAAUUCUGGAGUCAUCAUUUCAUCAUCCCGUACACAGUGACAGUCUUUGGGACCCUCAGAACCAGACAGGAUGCUCUGAGACCAAUGUUGCCAUUGAACCAGCUGGCCCAGCCAGCCAGGGAGGGCCCUCCUCAGUCCUGAAACCCCUUCAAGGGAAUGAGACUGGGGGUGUGGGGGUGUGGGUGUGUCCCUGCAUAGGUGCAUGAAGGAGAUGGGUCAGUAGAGGAAACAGCUCCAUAAUCUUCAAUAGCGUGGCUCUACCGGGUGAUCUAAUCAUUCCCUAUUGAUAGGCAUGGAAAGUGGUUACUAGGUUAAAAAAAAAAAAAAAAAAACAACCUAAGACGAUGCUAUGAUACACAGUCGGGUACCUGCCUCCUUGGAUGAAUUACUUCUUUAGAUGCCGUAUUCGUUUUCUAUAGCUGCGGUGACAAAUUACCACAAGCUCAAUGGCUUAGAUGACACAGAUUUAUUCUCUUAGGGUCCCAGACCUCAGAAGUCAAAUCAGUUUUGCUGGGUUAAAAUAAAGGUGUGGGCACUCCUGUGUUCUCUCUGGAGGCUCCAGGGGAGAAUCCCUUCCUUGCCUCUCUCAGCGUCUAGAGGUCGCCCACAUCCUUUGGCCAGUGGCCCCUGCCUCCAACCACAAAGGACAUCAUUUCAACCUCAGCAUCGGUCACCUCAUCUCCUCUGACUCUGACUCUCCUGCCCCGCUCUUCAGAGGACUUGGGAUGACAUUGGGCCCCCCUGGGUAAUCCAGGACCACCUCUCCACCUCAAGAGUCUUAAUCCCAUUUGCAGAAUCCCUUUUACUAGGUCAAGUCACACAGAGGUUCCUGGCAUGAAUAUGGGGACAUAUUUGGGAGACCGUCCUGGAGCCUACCACAGCAGCCUAGAAAUAAGAGACCUUCGUCAAAGGGUAUAUGUAUUUUGAGGUAAAUCGCCAUCUCCAAAUUGUUUUAAUGAACGCUGAUAUCAACACUGGGGCUACUGGCUUUUUGAAGGCAACUGGGCAGCACUGAUCAAGGUUUAAAUUCCUCACCAUCUCCUGUCUUCUCCAUUGCACAGGGGUAUGGUGCUGGCUGACGAUUUGUUUCUUAUUAAUCUUUCACUGAAGUAUCUGAGUCUUAAAGUUUCCCAGGACACAGCUGGGGGAACAGGAUUGGGAUGUUUGGCCAGAGGGUUGGGGUGGGAGGUUGGCCUCCAGGAGGAACAGGCAGGAGGGGGUGCCUAGAUGGAAGUGCAGGUGAGGAGGGCUGUGGUUCUAGCGAUGGGUGUGAUCACCAGAAGCGAGGCCCCCUGGGAGUAUGUGGUGGGGGUGGGGCGGACAAUGGGGAGCUGCUGCCAGCUGCAGCCCAGGAGGGCCACGUCAGCAAAGCUGGGUCAUUAGGGACAAGUAGUUGAAGAACAGUCAUCUGAAAGCCUGAGGCCGCCUUUCCAAACUGAGGCCCCCACCGGGGUCGGGGUCCUAGAUCCCCAGCUCCCCAAGAUCUCAUCCUGUCCCUCCACCCUUCCCUCAGGAGCCUGUCGGGGCAGCCACUGAGGGGGGUGGGCAGGAGAAGUUGGAGUGACCUCUAUAGCCAUAAAAUAGGGUCUUGUCUUCACAGCUGAAAUCCUUUCAGAUUCAAAGCAGACCUGACAUCCUCAGAGAUGCUCAGAGGCCUGAUGUCUUUCUGUGGUUUAUUCCAUAUAGAACCAGAGUACAGACACAAGAACAGAGGCUGCGGGAACAGCUGGGACCAUCCUGGCACAGGCCUCUAACCCCAACCCUAGGCUCCCCACUAGGGCAGCCACACAGUCCCAGACCUGUCAGGGUAGUGCUGGGGCCUGAAUGAGCUCAUGUCUGUGCCCUUUGGGCCCAGCCCCACAAAGUGACCCAGGGAGGUGACUUGCAGAGUGGGGGUGUGAAGGGGACCCUAGCCCUGGCUUUAAGCAGGAUACUCCAGUUCAGAGACAAGGCUCUGACAAAUGCUGGGAGACCAGUUGUACGUGUGUAGGGCCUGCAUUUCCCACUGACAGAUGCUCUCUGGCUAAACAGUCCUACGGAACAGAGACCUGGGAAUUGGCUGAGUCACAAACCUCACUCUCUGGCCCCUCCAGAGAUCAACUCUGCUAUGUCCUUGGAGAAGAGGCACAUGGCAAAGCCAGGCAUUGCCCUCUGGGCUGAAGGUACAAUUAAAUAAGCAAGGGCCCUUGGAGGCUCCUGCCACCACCUCAGGAGAGCCACCUCACCCACUGGGAAGACAGGUGUGGGGGACGUGCAUGGAGCAGGCAUAGGCUUGUUCUAAAUCCUUUCCUGAACCCCAAUGUCAACAACAGAAUACCAGGGCAUCCCUCUUGGGCCUACAGGGGACUUGAAGGUUGCUGAACCCACUCCCCAGUCUCUGGGCCUGACCUCACAGACACUGGUGAGAAGAUCUGGACGUGAGAACCCACCCUCUUUGCUUCUGGAAAGUCCUCCUGAGCAGCUACAUGCAAGGCCUGUGUGUUGCUAUGAACGUGCCCCCUCCUUUUACUGUGUCUGAUGCUUCUCCCAAGGUAGAAAGGGCCAAAAAAGAA
RNAcentral lists this long non-coding RNA (2938 nucleotides) under Canis lupus familiaris (dog). Its description in RNAcentral is "lncRNA (ENSCAFG00030024251.1)". The record is from RNAcentral. Lineage: Eukaryota; Metazoa; Chordata; Mammalia; Carnivora; Canidae.